RNAcentral lists this ribosomal RNA (402 nucleotides) under uncultured bacterium. RNAcentral describes it as "bacterial SSU rRNA". It matches the Rfam family "Bacterial small subunit ribosomal RNA", at positions 362 to 757 of the family's 1533-position model. The record is from RNAcentral.
UUUUGGACAAUGGGGGCAACCCUGAUCCAGCCAUUCCGCGUGAGUGAAGAAGGCCUUCGGGUUGUAAAGCUCUUUUGUCAGGGAAGAAACACCGGCUCUAACACAGUCCGGGAAUGACGGUACCUGAAGAAUAAGCACCGGCUAACUACGUGCCAGCAGCCGCGGUAAUACGUAGGGUGCAAGCGUUAAUCGGAAUUACUGGGCGUAAAGCGUGCGCAGGCGGUUAUACAAGACAGGCGUGAAAUCCCCGGGCUUAACCUGGGAAUGGCGCCUGUGACUGUAUAGCUAGAGUGUGUCAGAGGGGGGUAGAAUUCCACGUGUAGCAGUGAAAUGCGUAGAUAUGUGGAGGAAUACCAAUGGCGAAGGCAGCCCCCUGGGAUAACACUGACGCUCAUGCACGAA